Molecule: ribosomal RNA, 371 nt
Filed under: uncultured organism
Description: partial 16S ribosomal RNA
Rfam family: Bacterial small subunit ribosomal RNA
Source: RNAcentral
AGAGGGUGCGAGCGUUAAUCGGAAUUACUGGGCGUAAGGGGUGCGUAGGUUGAUUAAUAAGUUGGAUGUAAAAUCCCCGGGCUUAACCUGGGCAUGUCAUUCAAAACCGUUAAUCUAGAGUACAGUAGAGGGAAGUGGAAUUUCCGGUGUAGCGGUGAAAUGCGUAGAUAUCGGAAGGAACACCAGAGGCGAAGGCGACUUUCUGGACUGUAACUGACACUGAGGCACGAAAGCGUGGGGAGCGAACAGGAUUAGAUACCCUGGGUAGUCCACGCUGUAAACGAUGAAAACUAGCCGUUGGUGGCGCAAGCCCAUCAGUGGCGCAGCUAACGCAUUAAGUUUUCCGCCUGGGGAGUACGGCCGCAAGGCUA